GAUGAACGCUGGCGGCGUGCCUAAUACAUGCCAGUCGAGCGAACGGACGAGAAGCUUGCUUUUCUGAUGUUAGCGGCGGACGGGUGAGUAACACGUGGAUAACCUACCUAUAAGACUGGGAUAACUUCGGGAAACCGGAGCUAAUACCGGAUAAUAUUUUGAACCGCAUGGUUCAAAAGUGAAAGACGGUCUUGCUGUCACUUAUAGAUGGAUCCGCGCUGCAUUAGCUAGUUGGUAAGGUAACGGCUUACCAAGGCAACGAUGCAUAGCCGACCUGAGAGGGUGAUCGGCCACACUGGAACUGAGACACGGUCCAGACUCCUACGGGAGGCAGCAGUAGGGAAUCUUCCGCAAUGGGCGAAAGCCUGACGGAGCAACGCCGCGUGAGUGAUGAAGGUCUUCGGAUCGUAAAACUCUGUUAUUAGGGAAGAACAUAUGUGUAAGUAACUGUGCACAUCUUGACGGUACCUAAUCAGAAAGCCGCGGCUAACUACGUG
RNAcentral lists this ribosomal RNA (497 nucleotides) under uncultured bacterium. RNAcentral describes it as "partial 16S ribosomal RNA". It matches the Rfam family "Bacterial small subunit ribosomal RNA", at positions 28 to 507 of the family's 1533-position model. The record is from RNAcentral.